UACGUAGGUGGCAAGCGUUAUCCGGAAUUAUUGGGCGUAAAGCGCGCGUAGGCGGUUUUUUAAGUCUGAUGUGAAAGCCCACGGCUCAACCGGGGAGGGUCAUUGGAAACUGUUUUACUUGAGUACAGAAGAGGAGAGUGGAAUUCCAUGUGUAGCGGUGAAAUGCGCAGAGAUAUGGAGGAACACCAGUGGCGAAGGCGACUUUCUGGUCUGUAACUGACGCUGAGGCUCGAAAGCGUGGGGAGCAAACAGG
RNAcentral lists this ribosomal RNA (253 nucleotides) under uncultured bacterium. RNAcentral describes it as "partial 16S ribosomal RNA". It matches the Rfam family "Bacterial small subunit ribosomal RNA", at positions 524 to 776 of the family's 1533-position model. The record is from RNAcentral.